This 465-nucleotide ribosomal RNA is filed under the name Vreelandella stevensii. RNAcentral describes it as "partial 16S ribosomal RNA". It matches the Rfam family "Bacterial small subunit ribosomal RNA", at positions 338 to 795 of the family's 1533-position model. Lineage: Bacteria; Pseudomonadati; Pseudomonadota; Gammaproteobacteria; Oceanospirillales; Halomonadaceae. The record is from RNAcentral.
CCUACGGGUGGCAGCAGUGGGGAAUAUUGGACAAUGGGCGAAAGCCUGAUCCAGCCAUGCCGCGUGUGUGAAGAAGGCCUUCGGGUUGUAAAGCACUUUCAGUGGGGAAGAAAGCCUUGGGGCUAAUACCCUCGAGGAAGGACAUCACCCACAGAAGAAGCACCGGCUAACUCCGUGCCAGCAGCCGCGGUAAUACGGAGGGUGCGAGCGUUAAUCGGAAUUACUGGGCGUAAAGCGCGCGUAGGCGGUCUGAUAAGCCGGUUGUGAAAGCCCCGGGCUCAACCUGGGAACGGCAUCCGGAACUGGCAGGCUAGAGUGAAGGAGAGGAAGGUAGAAUUCCCGGUGUAGCGGUGAAAUGCGUAGAGAUCGGGAGGAAUACCAGUGGCGAAGGCGGCCUUCUGGACUGACACUGACGCUGAGGUGCGAAAGCGUGGGUAGCAAACAGGAUUAGAUACCCGAGUAGUC